UACGUAUGGUGCAAGCGCUAUCCGGAUUUACUGGGCGUAAAGGGAGCGCAGGCGGUGCGCCAAGUCUGAUGUGAAACCCCGGGGCUCAACCCCGGGCAUGCAUUGGAAACUGGCGGGCUGGAGUGCCGGAGAGGUAAGCGGAAUUCCUAGUGUAGCGGUGAAAUGCGUAGAUAUUAGGAGGAACACCAGUGGCGAAGGCGGCUUACUGGACGGCAACUGACGCUGAGGCUCGAAAGCGUGGGGAGCAAACAGG
RNAcentral lists this ribosomal RNA (253 nucleotides) under uncultured bacterium. RNAcentral's name for it is "partial 16S ribosomal RNA". It matches the Rfam family "Bacterial small subunit ribosomal RNA", at positions 524 to 776 of the family's 1533-position model. The record is from RNAcentral.